RNAcentral lists this transfer RNA (72 nucleotides) under Candidatus Kaiserbacteria bacterium RIFCSPHIGHO2_02_FULL_49_34. Its description in RNAcentral is "tRNA-Arg". It matches the Rfam family "tRNA". Rfam says of the family: Transfer RNA (tRNA) molecules are approximately 80 nucleotides in length. Their secondary structure includes four short double-helical elements and three loops (D, anti-codon, and T loops). Lineage: Bacteria; Candidatus Kaiseribacteriota. The record is from RNAcentral.
GCCUCCAUAGUUCAAUGGAUAGAACAAUCCCGUCCUAAGGGAAAAAUGCUGGUUCGAUUCCGGCUGGGGGCA